CAUUGUACAGGACAUGUGUGUAAGAUUGUUAACUCCAAUCUCAAUUCAGAAAUCUUAACUGCAUGCAGGACAUACAUUUCUUGGAUUAACUCAGAAUCUAAGUUUGGACCCGAGAAGGCUAGCACUUUGAACAUGUAUGCUAUAAUGAAGUCUGGAUUCAAAGAAGUGGACAAUUCUCAGCCGUAGACCACAAAACCAUCUUGUAGUGGACAAUUUAGAUCUAUAUAGGUGCUAGGACUUAUGUACGUUAGCUAUGACUGAGAUAUUCUUUUCUUUUAGCGUAAUGGUUGAACACUUUUUAAUCUGAUUGGAGUGUAGUUGUUGGACACUUUAAUUUGUAAUAUGUUUCAACUAAAUUAGUUGAAUAUAUUUAUGUAUUGGAUUUUGAUUGUAUUUA
Molecule: long non-coding RNA, 397 nt
Organism: Sorghum bicolor (sorghum)
Lineage: Eukaryota; Viridiplantae; Streptophyta; Magnoliopsida; Poales; Poaceae
Exons: 2
Source: RefSeq, a predicted model, not a curated record